AGCGAACGCUGGCGGCAGGCCUAACACAUGCAAGUCGAACGAACUCUUCGGAGUUAGUGGCGGACGGGUGAGUAACACGUGGGAACGUGCCUUUUGGUUCGGAAUAACUCAGGGAAACUUGUGCUAAUACCGAAUGUGCCCUUCGGGGGAAAGAUUUAUCGCCAUUAGAGCGGCCCGCGUCUGAUUAGCUAGUUGGUGAGGUAACGGCUCACCAAGGCGACGAUCAGUAGCUGGUCUGAGAGGAUGACCAGCCACACUGGGACUGGGACACGGCCCAGACUCCUACGGGAGGCAGCAGUGGGGAAUCUUGCGCAAUGGGCGGAGGCCUGACGCAGCCAUGCCGCGUGAAUGAUGAAGGUCUUAGGAUUGUAAUAUUCUUUCACCGGGGACGAUAAUGACGGUACCCGGAGAAGAAGCCCCGGCUAACUUCGUG
Molecule: ribosomal RNA, 433 nt
Filed under: uncultured bacterium
Lineage: Bacteria
Description: partial 16S ribosomal RNA
Rfam family: Bacterial small subunit ribosomal RNA
Source: RNAcentral